RNAcentral lists this ribosomal RNA (225 nucleotides) under uncultured Eubacteriales bacterium. Its description in RNAcentral is "uncultured Clostridiales bacterium partial 16S ribosomal RNA". It matches the Rfam family "Bacterial small subunit ribosomal RNA", at positions 109 to 334 of the family's 1533-position model. Lineage: Bacteria; Bacillati; Bacillota; Clostridia; Eubacteriales. The record is from RNAcentral.
AGUAACGCGUGAGCAACCUGCCUAUGACAGUGGGAUAGCCUCGGGAAACCGGGAUUAAUACUGCAUAAAAUCGUAGAAACACAUGUUUUAACGGUCAAAGAUUUAUCGGUCAUAGAUGGGCUCGCGUCUGAUUAGCUAGUUGGUGAGAUAACAGCCCACCAAGGCGACGAUCAGUAGCCGGUCUGAGAGGAUGAACGGCCACAUUGGAACUGAGACACGGUCCAA